RNAcentral lists this ribosomal RNA (467 nucleotides) under uncultured bacterium. RNAcentral describes it as "partial 16S ribosomal RNA". It matches the Rfam family "Bacterial small subunit ribosomal RNA", at positions 28 to 507 of the family's 1533-position model. The record is from RNAcentral.
GAUGAACGCUGACAGAAUGCUUAACACAUGCAAGUCAACUUGAAUUUGGGUUUUUAACCUAGGUUUGGGUGGCGGACGGGUGAGUAACGCGUAAAGAACUUGCCUCACAGCUAGGGACAACAUUUGGAAACGAAUGCUAAUACCUAAUAUUAUGAUAAUAGGGCAUCCUAUAAUUAUGAAAGCUAUAAGCGCUGUGAGAGAGCUUUGCGUCCCAUUAGCUAGUUGGAGAGGUAACGGCUCACCAAGGCGAUGAUGGGUAGCCGGCCUGAGAGGGUGAUCGGGCACAAGGGGAAUGAGAAACGGGCCUUAAUGCUACGGGAAGGAGGAGUGGGGAAUAAUGGAAAAAGGACCGAGAGGCUGAAGCAGCAAUUCUGUGUGCACGAUGAAGUUUUUCGGAAUGUAAAGUGCUUUCAGUUGGGAAGAAACAAAUGACGGUACCAACAGAAGAAGUGACGGCUAAAUACGUG